RNAcentral lists this long non-coding RNA (332 nucleotides) under Rattus norvegicus (Norway rat). Its description in RNAcentral is "long non-coding RNA NONRATT026251". Lineage: Eukaryota; Metazoa; Chordata; Mammalia; Rodentia; Muridae. The record is from RNAcentral.
CAAAACUCUGCUUAUGUGCAUGCUGCUUGGGAUGGACUUCAUCGUACAGGAAAUCUGCGGUCAGUUCAUCCCCAUUGUCUAUCUCAAUCUGCAAAAGAGGAAGUUACCAGAGAGAACACUGUAAACCAUGGGAACUGGAACCAUUCAGAACUGACGCACUGUAAGCUGGCUCCCAGGUCCCGAGGAAAAGUCGCUCGGCUGGCCGGAGGAAGGAGCCCGGCCAGCUUCGGAUCUUCCUGCUCUCCGCACGGGCGCCGGGAUGCGGCGGAGUCGCCCCGUACAUCCUCACGUCUCGGCUCUCUGGCAGCCACCGGCCUGUUACGUGGCGGCCG